This 372-nucleotide ribosomal RNA is filed under the name uncultured bacterium. RNAcentral's name for it is "bacterial SSU rRNA". It matches the Rfam family "Bacterial small subunit ribosomal RNA", at positions 524 to 898 of the family's 1533-position model. The record is from RNAcentral.
UACGGAGGAUCCGAGCGUUAUCCGGAUUUAUUGGGUUUAAAGGGUGCGCAGGCGGGAUGUUAAGUCGGCGGUGAAAUUUUGCGGCUCAACCGUAAAAGUGCCUUCGAAACUGGCAUCCUUGAGUAUGGAUGAAGUAGGCGGAAUUCGUGGUGUAGCGGUGAAAUGCAUAGAUAUCACGAAGAACCCCGAUUGCGCAGGCAGCUUACUAAACCAUAACUGACGCUCAUGCACGAAGGCGUGGGGAUCAAACAGGAUUAGAUACCCUGGUAGUCCACGCAGUAAACGAUGAUUACUGGCUGUUUGCGAUACAAUGUAAGCGGCUGAGCGAAAGCGUUAAGUAAUCCACCUGGGGAGUACGUUCGCAAGAAUGAA